GACGAACGCUGGCGGCGUGCUUAACACAUGCAAGUCGAACGGAAAGGCCCUGCUUUUGUGGGGUGCUCGAGUGGCGAACGGGUGAGUAACACGUGAGUAACCUGCCCUUGACUUUGGGAUAACUUCAGGAAACUGGGGCUAAUACCGGAUAGGAGCUCCUGCUGCAUGGUGGGGGUUGGAAAGUUUCGGCGGUUGGGGAUGGACUCGCGGCUUAUCAGCUUGUUGGUGGGGUAGUGGCUUACCAAGGCUUUGACGGGUAGCCGGCCUGAGAGGGUGACCGGCCACAUGGGUACUGAGAUACGGCCCAGACUCCUACGGGAGGCAGCAGUGGGGAAUAUUGCACAAUGGGCGGAAGCCUGAUGCAGCAACGCCGCGUGCGGGAUGACGGCCUUCGGGUUGUAAACCGCUGGCGCCUGUGACGAAGCGUGAGUGACGGUAAUGGGUAAAGAAGCACCGGCUAACUACGUG
This 468-nucleotide ribosomal RNA is filed under the name uncultured bacterium. RNAcentral's name for it is "partial 16S ribosomal RNA". It matches the Rfam family "Bacterial small subunit ribosomal RNA", at positions 28 to 507 of the family's 1533-position model. The record is from RNAcentral.